This 669-nucleotide ribosomal RNA is filed under the name uncultured archaeon. Its description in RNAcentral is "bacterial SSU rRNA". It matches the Rfam family "Archaeal small subunit ribosomal RNA", at positions 319 to 988 of the family's 1478-position model. The record is from RNAcentral.
UUCCCUACGGGGUGCAGCAGGCGCGAAAACUUUACAAUGCGGGAAACCGUGAUAAGGGGACACCGAGUGCCAGCAUCAUAUGCUGGCUGUCCGGGUGUGUAAAAUACACCUGUUAGCAAGGGCCGGGCAAGACCGGUGCCAGCCGCCGCGGUAACACCGGCGGCCCGAGUGGUGAUCGUGAUUAUUGGGUCUAAAGGGUCCGUAGCCGGUUUGGUCAGUCCUCCGGGAAAUCUGAUGGCUCAACCAUUAGGCUUUCGGGGGAUACUGCCAGGCUUGGAACCGGGAGAGGUAAGAGGUACUACAGGGGUAGGAGUGAAAUCUUGUAAUCCCUGUGGGACCACCUGUGGCGAAGGCGUCUUACCAGAACGGGUUCGACGGUGAGGGACGAAAGCUGGGGGCACGAACCGGAUUAGAUACCCGGGUAGUCCCAGCCGUAAACGAUGCUCGCUAGGUGUCAGGCAUGGCGCGACCGUGUCUGGUGCCGCAGGGAAGCCGUGAAGCGAGCCACCUGGGAAGUACGGCCGCAAGGCUGAAACUUAAAGGAAUUGGCGGGGGAGCACAACAACGGGUGGAGCCUGCGGUUUAAUUGGACUCAACGCCGGACAACUCACCGGGGACGACAGCAAAAUGUAGGCCAGGCUGAAGACCUUGCCUGAAUCGCUGAGAGGA